GCCGCCUUGCAGUUUGAUCUCAGACUGCUGUGCUAGCAAUCAGCGAGACUCCCUGGGGUAGGACCCUCCGAGCCAGGUGCGGGAGAUAGUCUCCUGGUGCGAGGAUUUUUAAGCCGGUCGGAAAAGCGCAGUAUUCGGGUGGGAGUGACCCGAUUUUCCAGGAAGUCAUUAAAGAAGCAACCCAUGGCAAAACUAGUUAUUUUCUUAAAACAGUAGGAAGAAGAAAAGCUUUUUGAAUGAAUCACUUCUCAUCUUCUCCGAAGUUGGAAGCAUCAAGAAUCUAAAUAAGCAUUUAUGAUGGCUGGCAUGAAUAUGCGGAAGAUAGAAUGGGAGUCCUAGUUGACCUUCAUAUAAUUUUUAGAAGAUGGAGCACUUCAACUUCUUCCACUCAUGAAAAGAGAGGUGACAGGUGAAGACAGAACAAGAAAACAAACCAAGAAUUUCCCCUCACCAGCCACCAGCUCUGCCAGCAACUUGAUCUUAGACUUCCCAGCCUCCGUAACGCCUCUGCUUAUAAUCUGUCAUGGAUUGGAAAACUAGAAAAAACAGUUUACAGAGUAUAACAAACUUUGGAGGAGUUAAUCGACUCUAAGUAAAAGAGUAUCUAGCACGGCUGUGGAACAAAGGAGAGACUCACAAACUGUUGAAAGAAUAAAUGAAUGAAUGAAUUCUGUUCAUGAGCUUUAAUAAAACAGCUCUGAGUAGUAACAGUGGAUCAAAUUUAGGCUUCUUGAUGCAGGCAUGGUGUAGAUUACUACUUCUGUAUUGUCCCAGGAGCUCAGCACAUUCCUGCAGAGAUGAUAGGAGCUCAUCUGAUACUUGUCAGCUUUGAAUAAACUCCAGUCCCCAAGAGAGAGAAUGAGAAUCACCGGAAUACGAAACUUCCCUGUUGGACUUCCCAACAUUCUUGAAUGCACCAAGAUAGCCUCUUGCUGUGAGAUUAAUAAAUGAAUAAAUGCCUCCAUAUUUUUCAAAUCUGUGAAGUUAACAACAUGUAGAUUUUUUUGCAUAUUUAAAAACUGCAACUAAAUCUUAAUGCCUCUGAAGCAGAUGGAAGAAAAUAAUAGGCUUCCAUUAACUGUGUCAAAUUGUAUAGGUCUUGGCCAUCACUGGUCCUGUUGUGAUGAAGGUUUUUUGCCCUUGGAUAUAAUUUAAUUUUCAAUUCUUCUAAUUAUGGUACUUCAGAACAUCAAUAUUUGAGAUGAACUUCUCUAGUGUCAAGGACUGAUUUGAGUUGUGUAAACCCUGAAUAUCUGAGACAGGUCUCGAUUAUUUUAGAAAGUUUAUUUUGCCAAGGUUGAGGAUGUGUGCCUGUGACACGGCCUCGGGAGGUCCUGAGGACAUGUGCUCAAGGUGGUCAGAGCACAGCUUUGCUUUAUACAUUUUAGAGAGACAUGAGACAUCAACCGACAUAUGUAAGAUGAACAUUGGUUCCAUCUGGAAAGGCGAGACAACUUCAAACGAGGAGGGGGCUUCCAGGUCAUAGGUAGAUAAGAGACAAAUGGCUGCAUUCUUUUGAGUUUCUGAUUAGCCUUUCCAAAGGAGGCAAUUAGAGUGAGCAAAAUGAACAAAAUCAAUUAUUUUGAUUCUGAACAAAAUGGGAGGCUGGUUUUCCCUAAGCAGUUCCCAGCUUGACUUUUCCCUUUAGCUGAGGGAUUUGGGGGGCCCAAGAUUUAUUUUUCUUUCACCGUUGUAUCAAACUACACAGGCGGCCUUGGAAACCAUCACAGUUGAGAGUAGGUAACGCCCAUUUGUUGCAUAGUUUUGUGCUCCACACUCUUAUCUACAAAAUUAUGAAUUUUUUUACAUAUAUUAAUUUCAGAAAAACUAAAAAUAAAACAAAGUAGUUUCAAACUAGUAUUGUUUUUAUAUCUUAAAAAUAAAGCUUUAUAUACUCUCCUUACCUCAUCAUAAA
Homo sapiens (human) is the source of this 1915-nucleotide long non-coding RNA. Lineage: Eukaryota; Metazoa; Chordata; Mammalia; Primates; Hominidae. The record is from Ensembl.